GCCAUCGUGGUGUAAUGGCCAGCACACUUGGCAGGUAUUCGAGAGGUCCGAGGUUCGAGUCCCGGCGAGGGUU
Non-coding RNA from Stegodyphus mimosarum, 73 nucleotides. Lineage: Eukaryota; Metazoa; Arthropoda; Arachnida; Araneae; Eresidae. The record is from Rfam.